GCCGGGACCUUCGGGCCUGGCGCGAUUGGAUGAGCCCACGUCGGAUUAGCUAGUUGGCGGGUAAAGGCCCACCAAGGCGACGAUCCGUAGCUGGUCUGAGAGGAUGAUCAGCCACACUGGAACUGAGACACGGUCCAGACUCCUACGGGAGGCAGCAGUAGGGAAUAUUGGACAAUGGGCGCAAGCCUGAUCCAGCCAUGCCGCGUGAGUGAAGAAGGCCCUCGGGUUGUAAAGCUCUUUUGUCCGGAAAGAAAAGCGCCGGGUUAAUACCCUGGUGUCCUGACGGUACCGGAAGAAUAAGCACCGGCUAACUUCGUG
RNAcentral lists this ribosomal RNA (318 nucleotides) under uncultured bacterium. RNAcentral describes it as "bacterial SSU rRNA". It matches the Rfam family "Bacterial small subunit ribosomal RNA", at positions 202 to 507 of the family's 1533-position model. The record is from RNAcentral.